Molecule: ribosomal RNA, 492 nt
Filed under: uncultured bacterium
Lineage: Bacteria
Description: partial 16S ribosomal RNA
Rfam family: Bacterial small subunit ribosomal RNA
Source: RNAcentral
AGUGAACGCUGGCGGUAGGCCUAACACAUGCAAGUCGAACGGCAGCACAGUAAGAGCUUGCUCUUACGGGUGGCGAGUGGCGGACGGGUGAGGAAUACAUCGGAAUCUACUUUUUCGUGGGGGAUAACGUAGGGAAACUUACGCUAAUACCGCAUACGACCUACGGGUGAAAGCAGGGGAUCUUCGGACCUUGCGCGAUUGAAUGAGCCGAUGUCGGAUUAGCUAGUUGGCGGGGUAAAGGCCAACCAAGGCGACGAUCCGUAGCUGGUCUGAGAGGAUGGUCAGCCACACGGGAACUGAGACACGGUCCAGACUCCUACGGGAGGCAGCAGUGGGGAAUAUUGGGCAAUGGGCGGAAACCUGAUCCAGCCAUACCGCGUGGGUGAAGAAGGCCUUCGGGUUGGAAAGCCCUUUUGUUGGGAAAGAAAAGCAGCAGGUUAAUACCCCGCUGUUCUGACGGUACCCAAAGAAUAAGCACCGGCUAACUUCGUG